AGUGAGGAAUAUUGGUCAAUGGGCGCAAGCCUGAACCAGCCAUGCCGCGUGCAGGAUGACGGUCCUAUGGAUUGUAAACUGCUUUUGUACGGGAAGAAACACUCGAACGUGUUCGGGCUUGACGGUACCGUAAGAAUAAGGAUCGGCUAACUCCGUGCCAGCAGCCGCGGUAAUACGGAGGAUCCAAGCGUUAUCCGGAAUCAUUGGGUUUAAAGGGUCCGUAGGCGGUCUGGUAAGUCAGUGGUGAAAGCCCAUCGCUCAACGGUGGAACGGCCAUUGAUACUGCCAGACUUGAAUUUCCAGGAAGCAACUAGAAUAUGUAGUGUAGCGGUGAAAUGCUUAGAUAUUACAUGGAAUACCAAUUGCGAAGGCAGGUUGCUACUGGUGGAUUGACGCUGAUGGACGAAAGCGUGGGUAGCGAA
Molecule: ribosomal RNA, 422 nt
Filed under: uncultured Flavobacterium sp.
Lineage: Bacteria; Pseudomonadati; Bacteroidota; Flavobacteriia; Flavobacteriales; Flavobacteriaceae
Description: bacterial SSU rRNA
Rfam family: Bacterial small subunit ribosomal RNA
Source: RNAcentral